CAGGCCUAACACAUGCAAGUCGAGCGCCCCGCAAGGGGAGCGGCAGACGGGUGAGUAACGCGUGGGAACAUACCCUUUACUACGGAACAACUCCGGGAAACUGGAGCUAAUACCGUAUGUGCCCUUCGGGGGAAAGAUUUAUCGGUAAAGGAUUGGCCCGCGUUGGAUUAGCUAGUUGGUGGGGUAAAGGCCUACCAAGGCGACGAUCCAUAGCUGGUCUGAGAGGAUGAUCAGCCACAUUGGGACUGAGACACGGCCCAAACUCCUACGGGAGGCAGCAGUGGGGAAUAUUGGACAAUGGGCGCAAGCCUGAUCCAGCCAUGCCGCGUGAGUGAUGAAGGCCUUAGGGUUGUAAAGCUCUUUCACCGAUGAAGAUAAUGACGGUAGUCGGAGAAGAAGCCCCGGCUAACUUCGUGCCAGCAGCCGCGGUAAU
RNAcentral lists this ribosomal RNA (433 nucleotides) under uncultured bacterium. Its description in RNAcentral is "bacterial SSU rRNA". It matches the Rfam family "Bacterial small subunit ribosomal RNA", at positions 43 to 524 of the family's 1533-position model. The record is from RNAcentral.